CCUACGGGUGGCUGCAGUGGGGAAUAUUGGACAAUGGGCGAAAGCCUGAUCCAGUCAUGCCGCGUGUGUGAAGAAGGCCUUCGGGUUGUAAAGCACUUUCAGUGGGGAAGAAAGCCUUGGGGCUAAUACCCUCGAGGAAGGACAUCACCCACAGAAGAAGCACCGGCUAACUCCGUGCCAGCAGCCGCGGUAAUACGGAGGGUGCGAGCGUUAAUCGGAAUUACUGGGCGUAAAGCGCGCGUAGGCGGUCUGAUAAGCCGGUUGUGAAAGCCCCGGGCUCAACCUGGGAACGGCAUCCGGAACUGUCAGGCUAGAGUGCAGGAGAGGAAGGUAGAAUUCCCGGUGUAGCGGUGAAAUGCGUAGAGAUCGGGAGGAAUACCAGUGGCGAAGGCGGCCUUCUGGACUGACACUGACGCUGAGGUGCGAAAGCGUGGGUAGCAAACAGGAUUAGAUACCCUUGUAGUC
Molecule: ribosomal RNA, 465 nt
Filed under: Vreelandella stevensii
Lineage: Bacteria; Pseudomonadati; Pseudomonadota; Gammaproteobacteria; Oceanospirillales; Halomonadaceae
Description: partial 16S ribosomal RNA
Rfam family: Bacterial small subunit ribosomal RNA
Source: RNAcentral